UAAUACCCCAUAGGUCUCAGAUACUGGAAUGUUCUGAGGCUCAAAGCUCCGGCACGAUAGGAUGGGUCUGCGGCCGAUUAGUUAGUAGGCGGUGUAAUGGACCACCUAGACUAUAAUCGGUAAGGGUCAUGGGAGUGAUAGCCCUGAGACGGAAUCUGAGACACUAUUCCGAGCCUUACGGGGUGCAGCAGGCGCGAAAACUUUGCAAUGCACGAAAGUGCGACAAGGGGACUCCAAGUGUGCAUAUACCAUAUGCACUUUUUCAGAGCUUAAAACGCUCUGGGAAUAAGGGGUGGGCAAGACUAGUGCCAGCCGCCGCGGUAAAACUAGCAUCUCGAGUGGCAGUCACCAUUACUGGGCUUAGAGCGUCCGUAGCUCGCUCGGAAAGUCCCUGGUGAAAUCCUACGGCUCAACCGUAGGGCUUGCCGGGGAAACUAACGGGCUUGAGGGCGGGAGAGGUCGGGGGUACUUCGGGGGUAGGGGUGAAAUCCUUUAAUCCUCGAAGGACCAACAGUGGCGAAGGCGCCCGACAUGAACGUGCCUGACAGUGAGGGACGAGAGCCAGGGUCGCGAAACGGAUUAGAUACCCGUGUAGUCCUGGCCGUAAACGAUGCUGACUAGGUGGGGUGUGACCCUAGAGGUCAUGCUAUGCCGAAGGGAAACCGUUAAGUCAGCCGCCUGGGGAGUACGACCGCAAGGUUGAAACUUAAAGGAAUUGGCGGGGGAGCACUACAAGGGGUGGAAGCUGCGGUUUAAUUAGAUUCAACGCUGGACAUCUCACCGGAGGCGACAGC
RNAcentral lists this ribosomal RNA (794 nucleotides) under uncultured archaeon. RNAcentral describes it as "bacterial SSU rRNA". It matches the Rfam family "Archaeal small subunit ribosomal RNA", at positions 147 to 943 of the family's 1478-position model. The record is from RNAcentral.